This 70-nucleotide transfer RNA is filed under the name Camelus bactrianus (Bactrian camel). It matches the Rfam family "tRNA". From Rfam's summary of the family: Transfer RNA (tRNA) molecules are approximately 80 nucleotides in length. The record is from Rfam by way of RNAcentral. Lineage: Eukaryota; Metazoa; Chordata; Mammalia; Artiodactyla; Camelidae. RNAcentral also lists the same sequence under 2 other names.
GAGGGUGUAGCUCAGUGGUAGUGUGUGCCUGGUGUGCACAGGUUCCUGAGUUCGAUCCCCAGCACCUCCA